Non-coding RNA from Chrysemys picta bellii (western painted turtle), 1849 nucleotides. The record is from RefSeq and is a predicted model, not a curated record. NCBI's taxonomy places the organism in Eukaryota, Metazoa, Chordata, Testudines, Emydidae.
GCAAUUGCAACUGUCUGAAAGGCAAGAAAGCGGAACAUUUCCCUAAGUCUCCGGGUAGCCGACGCUGCCAGCGAAUUUCAGUUCUGGAGGCCAAGGGCAAACCUCAUUCCAAGCAUGCUUCUCACUCGUCUUGUUCCACCAAAGCAAAUGCCGUCGGCUCUGUUUGCAGAGACCUGCAGAGCAGCACAGGGUCAGUGCCCUGUAGGUAGCCCAUGCUGAAAAAGGUUUCCACUGAGGACUCUAAAUUAGGCCACCAGGAACGUUUCCUUUGCUGUCAGUUUCAUUUCCCAGAACUCUUAAAGUCCUUCAUUAUUUAUCCUCUGCAAAAGAAAGCUCUUGGGUAGACCUGCUUUUCGCCCAGGGAGCCAUUAAAUCAGGCAGCCUGACUUUCCAGCCCUGCUGUGGAUGGAAGAGUCCAGCACCAUGGCCUGGGAUAAAGCCUGGCAGACAUUUUUCAGUCUUGUUAAAAAGUGCUUGAACACAGAAGGGUUUAGAGUGGAUUACAACUUCUUUUUUAUGCUGAGUGAUUAUUAAAACGUCCACCUGCAGCAGGGUCACAAAAUGACAAGAAAUACAGAGGACAACCCCCUUCAGCGUUUGAAUGCUGGGUAGCACAUGCCUUAAAGGAGGCAGGAGUGGGAUAAAAAGUAAAAGGUUUCUUCAAGAGCCGCACAAAUAUGACGUCCUAAGUGCCCUCUGGAGUCACAGAGCUUAAGGGACCCAGGUGAUAACCUAGUCUGAUCUCCUGCCUCGCAUAGGCCAGAAAGUCCCACCCGGGAAUUCCUACAUUGAGCCCAAUGACUUGUGGCUGAGCUAGAGUGGAGCGUUCAGAAAGAGACAACCUUGACCUUAACAUUUCAAGUGACGGAGCACCUGGCAAGACAGAACCCAGGAGUCCUGACUCCCAGUCCCUCCUGCUCUAACCACUAGACCCCCUUCCCCUCCCAGAGCUGGGAACAGAGCCCAGUUCCCUGGGGCUCCUGCUCUCUAUUCUGUUUACCCAGAUACAUACGAUGGCAAUGAGGGACAUGUAUCUGUCUGCUUUUCCACCCACCUGCAUUGCUAAAGCACUAGUCCCCGCAGGGCUGGGGCUCCCUGUACAGAAGUUGUGAUGGGAAAACUCUUCUGGAAUUCAUGCACCACAAGGAAUGUGCAGCUGGCGCUGUGCUGACCCUGGUUUAGAAAUACCUACGUGGGGAGAAGAUUUCUGAGACCAGCUGGCUCUUUAAUCUAGCAGGACAAAGCAGAAUGAGAUCCAACAACUGGAAGCCAAAGAUGGAACAAUUCAGGGUGGCAAUGAGGCGCAGAUGGUUAAUUCACCGUUGGGACAACUUACCAAGGGAUGCGGUGGAUUUUCUGUCCCUUGUAAGUAGGAGACAAGAGACAGCAAGUGGAUACCGACAGUCGGAGGGGAGGGAACAGGGAACAGGGCCCGUCUUUUUUUCCUGUAUUUGAACAUCACUCAGCACCACGGGGCUCUGAGCCAUGUCGUGGGGUCGUCGUAGGCGCCACCUUAAUACACACCGCAAUAAAAAUAACAUAGAAUUUAGUUACUAGCAUGUGUCCGGGGUGGUUCCCGGUGUCUCCCGGAGGGCAGAAUUACUUGAUUUGCUUGUUUAAUUUUAUUUUUAAUUUGUUUUUCUGCCUGCUGUGUUCUCUGGGUCCAGGCAGCUCAUACCACAUGGCUCUGGAGCAGGUCUCGGGCUCAGCUGAAUGGCACUUGCUCAGUCAGAUCGGUUUGUAAGAGCGUUCAUCAACAAAACUAGGACAACAAGCCGAGAUCUCACAAGGGAACAAAUACGAAGUUUUAUAAAUAAUUGAUCCAUAAUUAAAGUGACGAUUAUGCUAA